AUUGAACGCUGGCGGCAUGCUUUACACAUGCAAGUCGAACGGCAGCGCGGGCUUCGUCCUGGUUGCGAGUGGCGAACGGGUGAGUAAUGCAUCGGAACGUGCCCACUACUUGUGGAUUGCCCGUCGAAAGCCGGAUUUAUACCUCAUACGACCUGCGGCUGAAAGCUGGGGACCGAAAGGCCUCGCGCUUUUGGAGCUGCCGAUGUCGGAUUAGCUAGUUGGUGGGGUAAAGGCUUACCAAGGCGACGAUCCGUAGCUGGUCUGAGAGGACGACAAGCCACACUGGAACUGAGACACGGCCCAGACUCCUACGGGAGGCAGCAGUGGGGAAUAUUGGACAAAGGGGGCAAGCCUGAUCCAGCCAUGCCGCGUGCGGGAAGAAGGCCUUCGGGUUGUAAAGCGCUUUUGUUGGGGAAGAAAACCUGUGGGCUAAUACCCCGGGGGGAUGACGGUACCGGAAGAAUAAGCACCGGCUAACUACGUG
This 484-nucleotide ribosomal RNA is filed under the name uncultured bacterium. Its description in RNAcentral is "partial 16S ribosomal RNA". It matches the Rfam family "Bacterial small subunit ribosomal RNA", at positions 30 to 507 of the family's 1533-position model. The record is from RNAcentral.